This 451-nucleotide ribosomal RNA is filed under the name uncultured bacterium. Its description in RNAcentral is "bacterial SSU rRNA". It matches the Rfam family "Bacterial small subunit ribosomal RNA", at positions 354 to 796 of the family's 1533-position model. The record is from RNAcentral.
GUAGGGAAUCUUCCGCAAUGGACGAAAGUCUGACGGAGCAACGCCGCGUGAGUGAUGAAGGUCUUCGGAUCGUAAAACUCUGUUGUCAGGGAAGAACAAGUUGUGUUCUAACAGGACAUGACCUUGACGGUACCUGACCAGAAAGCCCCGGCUAACUACGUGCCAGCAGCCGCGGUAAUACGUAGGGGGCAAGCGUUGUCCGGAAUUAUUGGGCGUAAAGCGCGCGCAGGCGGUCCUUUAAGUCUGAUGUGAAAGCCCACGGCUUAACCGUGGAGGGUCAUUGGAAACUGAGGGACUUGAGUACAGAAGAGGAGAGUGGAAUUCCACGUGUAGCGGUGAAAUGCGUAGAGAUGUGGAGGAACACCAGUGGCGAAGGCGACUCUCUGGUCUGUAACUGACGCUGAGGUGCGAAAGCGUGGGUAGCAAACAGGAUUAGAAACCCUAGUAGUCC